RNAcentral lists this ribosomal RNA (301 nucleotides) under uncultured bacterium. Its description in RNAcentral is "partial 16S ribosomal RNA". It matches the Rfam family "Bacterial small subunit ribosomal RNA", at positions 509 to 807 of the family's 1533-position model. The record is from RNAcentral.
CAGCAGCCGCGGGAAUACGUAGGGUGCAAGCGUUAAUCGGAAUUACUGGGCGUAAAGCGUGCGCAGGCGGUGAGUUAAGUCUGCUGUGAAAUCCCCGGGCUCAACCUGGGAAUGGCAGUGGAUACUGGCUCGCUAGAGUGUGUCAGAGGAUGGUGGAAUUCCCGGUGUAGCGGUAAAAUGCGUAGAGAUCGGGAGGAACAUCAGUGGCGAAGGCGGCCAUCUGGGACAACACUGACGCUGAGGCACGAAAGCGUGGGGAGCAAACAGGAUUAGAGACCCCUGUAGUCCCUGUCUCUUAUAC